RNAcentral lists this ribosomal RNA (478 nucleotides) under uncultured bacterium. RNAcentral describes it as "partial 16S ribosomal RNA". It matches the Rfam family "Bacterial small subunit ribosomal RNA", at positions 28 to 523 of the family's 1533-position model. The record is from RNAcentral.
GAUGAACGCUGGCGGCGUGCUUAACACAUGCAAGUCGAACGGUAAGGCCCUUCGGGGUACACGAGUGGCGAACGGGUGAGUAACACGUGGGUGAUCUGCCCUGCACUUCGGGAUAAGCCUGGGAAACUGGGUCUAAUACCGGAUAGGACUCCGGACUGCAUGGUCUGGGGUGGAAAGCUUUUGCGGUGUGGGAUGGGCCCGCGGCCUAUCAGCUUGUUGGUGGGGUGAUGGCCUACCAAGGCGACGACGGGUAGCCGGCCUGAGAGGGUGACCGGCCACACUGGGACUGAGAUACGGACCAGACUCCUACGGGAGGCAGCAGUGGGGAAUAUUGCACAAUGGGCGCAAGCCUGAUGCAGCGACGCCGCGUGAGGGAUGACGGCCUUCGGGUUGUAAACCUCUUUCAGCAUCGACGAAGCGAAAGUGACGGUAGGUGCAGAAGAAGGACCGGCCAACUACGUGCCAGCCGCCGCAGUAA